RNAcentral lists this transfer RNA (86 nucleotides) under Alphaproteobacteria bacterium. RNAcentral's name for it is "tRNA-Leu". It matches the Rfam family "tRNA". Rfam says of the family: Transfer RNA (tRNA) molecules are approximately 80 nucleotides in length. Their secondary structure includes four short double-helical elements and three loops (D, anti-codon, and T loops). Lineage: Bacteria; Pseudomonadati; Pseudomonadota; Alphaproteobacteria. The record is from RNAcentral.
GCGGGCGUGGCGGAAUGGUAGACGCUGCGGACUUAAAAUCCGUUGAUCGUAAGAUCGUGGGGGUUCAAGUCCCCCCGCCCGCACCA